Molecule: ribosomal RNA, 253 nt
Filed under: uncultured bacterium
Lineage: Bacteria
Description: partial 16S ribosomal RNA
Rfam family: Bacterial small subunit ribosomal RNA
Source: RNAcentral
UACGGAGGGAGCUAGCGUUGUUCGGAAUUACUGGGCGUAAAGCGCGCGUAGGCGGCUUUGUAAGUUAGAGGUGAAAGCCCGGGGCUCAACCCCGGAAUUGCCUUUAAGACUGCAUCGCUUGAAUCCGGGAGAGGUGAGUGGAAUUCCGAGUGUAGAGGUGAAAUUCGUAGAUAUUCGGAAGAACACCAGUGGCGAAGGCGGCUCACUGGACCGGCAUUGACGCUGAGGCACGAAAGCGUGGGGAGCAAACAGG